AAUUAUUCAGGAAGGUCACCUAUC
Molecule: non-coding RNA, 24 nt
Filed under: Arabidopsis thaliana (thale cress)
Lineage: Eukaryota; Viridiplantae; Streptophyta; Magnoliopsida; Brassicales; Brassicaceae
Source: RNAcentral